RNAcentral lists this unclassified non-coding RNA (283 nucleotides) under Hevea brasiliensis (rubber tree). Lineage: Eukaryota; Viridiplantae; Streptophyta; Magnoliopsida; Malpighiales; Euphorbiaceae. The record is from RNAcentral.
AGAUAUAGAAGAGGAGAUUUCAGCGUUAGAGCAAAUGUUCGAGCGAUUUAACAUGAAAAUCUCUAAGCAUGAAGAGAAGAAUAUCGAAUGUGCUAAGCCAAAAGCUGAGAUCAGUGCCACCAAGCCCCCUGUUCUCGCAUGAGAAGGAAAGGAUGACUGAAAUAAUAAGCUGUCUACUCUGGAAUUUUGCUGCUGCUUUUUGUUUUUAUAUUUUGUAUAAUUCAGAUCGAAGAUCAUACGUAUUGAUUGUUAAGAGGCAAGCAGUUGUAAUGCGCCAAAGUAG